This 325-nucleotide small RNA is filed under the name Bos taurus (domestic cattle). Lineage: Eukaryota; Metazoa; Chordata; Mammalia; Artiodactyla; Bovidae. The record is from RNAcentral.
GGAAUUCGUGAGACCAAUAGAGAUAUUCCAAGUAAGAUAAGGAUUAUUUAAAGGACUUGAGGAGAUAGAUAUAGGAUGAAUGAGUUAUCAAGUCUUCUAAUGUGAAUUGGAGGCUCAGAAAAAUUAGGGAUGAGGGUGGCAAGGGUGAGAGUAGAGCAGGGUACAGAAGAGAACUUGGGAGAUUCUAGGAGGGUGACAUGAAUUAGUUGGAUUUGAGAAGGCGAUAGAAGGGCUGUGACCUUGUGUGAGAGUAAGUUCUUAACGUCACGUGGUGAGCAAAUGAUCAUGGGCUUCCUUUGCUUUCUUGAGUGAAAAAAUGUAGCUG